Molecule: transfer RNA, 75 nt
Filed under: Methanobacteriota archaeon
Lineage: Archaea; Methanobacteriati; Methanobacteriota
Description: Euryarchaeota archaeon (groundwater metagenome) tRNA-Ile
Rfam family: tRNA
About the family: Transfer RNA (tRNA) molecules are approximately 80 nucleotides in length. Their secondary structure includes four short double-helical elements and three loops (D, anti-codon, and T loops).
Source: RNAcentral
GGGCCCGUAGCUUAGCUCGGUUGGAGCGCCCGGCUGAUAACCGGGAGGUCAUGAGUCCAAAUCUCAUCGGGCCCA